CUCGGCCUUUCUAGAGAAGGCGAACCAAGCGACGCCGCACGAUUCCUCUGUACUUUUCUCUCUUCUCUCGCAAGUCGCGACCUCUCCGACGGCGUCUGCCCUAGGUCCGCUCGCCGCCGCGACGCUAUACGCGUACCCGAGGCGUCACGACAUCUCCCUCCCGUCUGCCUUACGCUUUGUAGAGAUUCCAGGUGGAGACGAGAAUGCAGUGUAGGAUGCAUCCCUAGACGUUCCUUGCAGCGACAGCGGCGAGGAGCCCAUUAUGUUUCCACGUCCUUCCUUUCAUGGAUACAGUGUCUUCUUUGCCUGUCAGAGCCCAGAUCUGGCCGUGGUUUGUACUGAUCAUCGUUUAAGAGAUAAGAGACUGGAAGAGAUUCAUCCCUGCACUAAGAAUCUGUCCAAAGAAACCAAGGGAAGAUUGUGAUAACACUGAGACUAUAAAUGAUUCAGAGUUUUUGUUGACUCCAGUUUGCCACACCUGAUGAUGCAGAAUUAACAACCGGAACUUUGAAAGAUGGACGACGACACAAUAUUACGUACUAGAAAUGAAAUAUAAAAAUGAGAAGAUACAGUGGAUCGUCAUAUUUAUUUCUUGUGGAAGAAUAGGGAUGAUGCCUAAGCAAUGACACUGCCUAUGUGACAGUUGAUGAGUAUCAUGGGUAUAAGGUAUGGAUACUAAACGAGCAUCAUGUUGCUGCGUUUUUUUGUGUGCCGUCUUGUAGCUUUGUCCAUGGUUAUUGAACAAAAUGCUUAUCAACAUAGCAAGUUGUGCUUGUUGGCUUCGAGAUCUUAAUAAGUUUAGUUAGUAUUUGCUACAUAUUAAUAAGCUUCUUUUCUUUGACCGGAAGGUCUUGGUGAGCUGUGAAGGUCAAUUUGGUACUUGCGCGUAAACUACUCUUUCACUCAAUUUAGGAAAUUACAUAAACUGCUGUUAUAUGUAUUCUUGACAAAUAUAAUAUAAAUUAUACACAUAAUCUUCUAACAUUAUCAAAAUCAAAUAUAACACUGUUUAUUUUUGGCAUUUACCUCAUUUCUACCGUACUGUAAAAGUUGUCUGCAGGGGGGCUUCACUUUCAGUGGCACUAAACAUAUAGAUGAUGCUCAAAAGUAGACCUGUGUUAUUAUUUUGUUUUGUUUCUAACCUCUCCUUUUUGCACAUCUACAGGUGCAUUUUGAAAGCUAUUUAUGCUAAAUUUCAAAAAAUCGCUUCACUUUUUCAGAAAUUUUAUGAGCAUCCAGACAAGCUGCAUGCAGCUUGAAAUGCCCAUGACCGGUUUCAGAGAAGGCACAUGGGGUCCGCUCUUGCUGCAGAGAGGAUGAAGAGGUUGCUGGCAGCAAUGAUCAAAAUAAGAUGUGUUUGGGUACGAGGAGCAAAUUAUCUGCACUGGUGUACAAUAUCUUUGCUUGGUCAUGUUGUUUUCAGUCCCAUGUUCUUAUAGCUUAUAUAAACAUAAUUAUAUUUUCCUACAUAUAAUAUCCAUUUUGCACAUUAUAUU
Long non-coding RNA from Triticum aestivum (bread wheat), 1496 nucleotides. RefSeq lists it as uncharacterized. Lineage: Eukaryota; Viridiplantae; Streptophyta; Magnoliopsida; Poales; Poaceae. The record is from RefSeq and is a predicted model, not a curated record. The transcript is spliced from 5 exons.